This 500-nucleotide ribosomal RNA is filed under the name uncultured Glomeromycotina. RNAcentral describes it as "partial small subunit ribosomal RNA". It matches the Rfam family "Eukaryotic small subunit ribosomal RNA", at positions 591 to 1092 of the family's 1831-position model. Lineage: Eukaryota; Fungi; Glomeromycota. The record is from RNAcentral.
CCAAUAGCGUAUAUUAAAGUUGUUGCAGUUAAAAAGCUCGUAGUUGAAUUUCGGGGUCAGUAGGUCGGUCGUGCCACUGGUAUGAACUGGUUUUACUGAUUCCUCCCUCUUGAAGAACUGUAAUGCCAUUAAUUUGGUGUUGCAGGGAAUCAGGACUGUUACUUUGAAAAAAUUAGAGUGUUUAAAGCAGGCUUUAGCUUGAAUACAUUAGCAUGGAAUAAUGAAAUAGGACGUUUGAUCCUAUUUUGUUGGUUUCUAGGAUUGACGUAAUGAUUAAUAGGGAUAGUUGGGGGCAUUAGUAUUCAAUUGUCAGAGGUGAAAUUCUUGGAUUUAUUGAAGACUAACUACUGCGAAAGCAUUUGCCAAGGAUGUUUUCAUUAAUCAAGAACGAAAGUUAGGGGAUCGAAGACGAUCAGAUACCGUCGUAGUCUUAACCAUAAACUAUGCCGACUAGGGAUCGGAUGAUGUUAAUUUUUUAAUGACUCAUUCGGCGCCUCACG